AGUGAACGCUGGCGGUAGGCCUAACACAUGCAAGUCGAACGGAAGCACAGUAAGAGCUUGCCCUUACGGGUGGCGAGUGGCGGACGGGUGAGACAUACAUAGGAAUCUACUUUUUCGUGGGGAAUAACGGAGGGAAACUUACGAUACUACCGCAUACGACCUACGGGAGAAAUCAACGGAUCUUCGGACCUUGGGCGUCUCAAUGAGACGGUGCCGGAUUAGCUAGUUGGGGGGGUAAAGGCACACCAAGGCAACGAUGCGUAGCUGGUCUGAGAGGAUGAUCAGCCACACUGGAACUGAGACACGGUCCAGACUCCUACGGGAGGCAGCAGUAGGGAAUAUUGCACAAUGGGCGCAAGCCUGAUCCAGCCAUACCGCGUGAGUGAAGAAGGUCUUCGGGUUGUAAAGCUCUUUUGUUGGGAAAGAAAAACAGUAUAUGAAUCUACCGCUGUUCUGACGGUACCUAAACAGUAAGCACCGGCUAACUUCGUG
Molecule: ribosomal RNA, 492 nt
Filed under: uncultured bacterium
Lineage: Bacteria
Description: partial 16S ribosomal RNA
Rfam family: Bacterial small subunit ribosomal RNA
Source: RNAcentral